This 485-nucleotide ribosomal RNA is filed under the name uncultured bacterium. RNAcentral describes it as "partial 16S ribosomal RNA". It matches the Rfam family "Bacterial small subunit ribosomal RNA", at positions 30 to 506 of the family's 1533-position model. The record is from RNAcentral.
AUUGAACGCUGGCGGCAUGCCUUACACAUGCAAGUCGAACGGCAGCACGGGUGCUUGCACCUGGUGGCGAGUGGCGAACGGGUGAGUAAUACAUCGGAACAUGUCCUGUAGUGGGGGAUAGCCCGGCGAAAGCCGGAUUAAUACCGCAUACGAUCCACGGAUGAAAGCGGGGGACCUUCGGGCCUCGCGCUAUAGGGUUGGCCGAUGGCUGAUUAGCUAGUUGGUGGGGUAAAGGCCUACCAAGGCGACGAUCAGUAGCUGGUCUGAGAGGACGACCAGCCACACUGGGACUGAGACACGGCCCAGACUCCUACGGGAGGCAGCAGUGUGGAAUUUUGGACAAUGGGCGAAAGCCUGAUCCAGCAAUGCCGCGUGUGUGAAGAAGGCCUUCGGGUUGUAAAGCACUUUUGUCCGGAAAGAAAUCCUUGACUCUAAUACAGUCGGGGGAUGACGGUACCGGAAGAAUAAGCACCGGCUAACUACGU